This 492-nucleotide ribosomal RNA is filed under the name uncultured bacterium. RNAcentral's name for it is "partial 16S ribosomal RNA". It matches the Rfam family "Bacterial small subunit ribosomal RNA", at positions 29 to 507 of the family's 1533-position model. The record is from RNAcentral.
AGUGAACGCUGGCGGUAGGCCUAACACAUGCAAGUCGAACGGCAGCACAGUAAGAGCUUGCUCUUACGGGUGGCGAGUGGCGGACGGGUGAGGAAUACAUCGGAAUCUACUUUUUCGUGGGGGAUAACGUAGGGAAACUUACGCUAAUACCGCAUACGACCUACGGGUGAAAGCAGGGGAUCUUCGGACCUUGCGCGAUUGAAUGAGCCGAUGUCGGAUUAGCUAGUUGGCGGGGUAAAGGCCCACCAAGGCGACGAUCCGUAGCUGGUCUGAGAGGAUGAUCAGCCACACUGGAACUGAGACACGGUCCAGACUCCUACGGGAGGCAGCAGUGGGGAAUAUUGGACAAUGGGCGCAAGCCUGAUCCAGACAUACCGCGUGGGUGAAGAAGGCCUUCGGGUUGUAAAGCCCUUUUGUUGGGAAAGAAAAGCAGCAGGUUAAUACCCCGCUGUUCUGACGGUACCAAAAGAAUAAGCACCGGCUAACUUCGUG